Notolabrus celidotus (New Zealand spotty) is the source of this 555-nucleotide long non-coding RNA. RefSeq lists it as uncharacterized. The record is from RefSeq and is a predicted model, not a curated record. Lineage: Eukaryota; Metazoa; Chordata; Actinopteri; Labriformes; Labridae. The transcript is spliced from 3 exons.
CUUUUCCUCUCAGUCCUAUACUGUGAUUUGAAAGAGUUGGUCAAAGUGGUCCAAACCCAUCAUCCUCGACUGCAUUGUACUUCAAAUCCAGUACACGCACCUUCCACUUCACCAGGAAAAACUGGAAACUGAGCAGGCUCUGUGGGACACCCACGACAUCCGCAAACAACGCCAUGCUCCAGGCCCAUUUGGGAAGCCAGACCUUCUCUACACCUCACCACCUCCUGGUUUUGCCGAAAUGCUGUACACAGUGGACACAGACCUCCUUGACCAUGCAAAAGACAUAAUCAGUGAGAAAGAUGAACCAUCGAUGGUGGCAAACUCAGAAUUCAGAGAAAUGUGCCAGACCAUGUUAGGGAAAAGUCAAUUUCCAUGUACAGUGGAGGGCUGCCUUGCUGCAUACCUCAUGGUAGUGAAGGAACACACCACUGCCAUGACUAGGAACACGCUUCCUACACCCUCUACAUUUGCAGAGGCAAAUGAAAUGUAAAAGUUUUUGAUCAGUGGAAGUAUGUCAGUGGAGUGACUGGUUCUUUUGGGAAAUAAAAAGUAUGC